RNAcentral lists this ribosomal RNA (483 nucleotides) under uncultured bacterium. RNAcentral describes it as "bacterial SSU rRNA". It matches the Rfam family "Bacterial small subunit ribosomal RNA", at positions 31 to 507 of the family's 1533-position model. The record is from RNAcentral.
GAACGCUGGCGGCAGGCCUAANACAUGCAAGUCGAACGGUAGCACAGAGGAGCUUGCUCCUUGGGUGACGAGUGGCGGACGGGUGAGGAAUAGUAUCGGAAUCUACCCAAUCGUGGGGGAUAACGUAGGGAAACUUACGCUAAUACCGCAUACGAUCUGAGGAUGAAAGCGGCGGACCGCAAGGCGUCGCGCGAUUGGAUGAGCCGAUAUCCGAUUAGCUAGUUGGUAAGGUAAAGGCUUACCAAGGCGACGAUCGGUAGCUGGUCUGAGAGGAUGAUCAGCCACACUGGAACUGAGACACGGUCCAGACUCCUACGGGAGGCAGCAGUGAGGAAUAUUGGGCAAUGGGCGCUAGCCUGACCCAGCCAUGCCGCGUGCAGGAAGACGGUCCUAUGGAUUGUAAACUGCUUUUGUACGGGAAGAAACCCUAUUACGUGUAAUAGAUUGACGGUACCGUACGAAUAAGGAUCGGCUAACUCCGUG